CCUACGGGGGGCAGCAGUGGGGAAUAUUGCACAAUGGGGGAAACCCUGAUGCAGCGACGCCGCGUGAGUGAAGAAGUAUUUCGGUAUGUAAAGCUCUAUCAGCAGGGAAGAAAAUGACGGUACCUGACUAAGAAGCCCCGGCUAACUACGUGCCAGCAGCCGCGGUAAUACGUAGGGGGCAAGCGUUAUCCGGAUUUACUGGGUGUAAAGGGAGCGUAGACGGUGAUGCAAGUCAGAAGUGAAAGCCCGCGGCUCAACUGCGGGACUGCUUUUGAAACUGUAUGACUAGAGUGCAGGAGAGGUAAGCGGAAUUCCUAGUGUAGCGGUGAAAUGCGUAGAUAUUAGGAGGAACACCAGUGGCGAAGGCGGCUUACUGGACUGUAACUGACGUUGAGGCUCGAAAGCGUGGGGAGCAAACAGGAUUAGAUACCCGUGUAG
Molecule: ribosomal RNA, 438 nt
Filed under: uncultured bacterium
Lineage: Bacteria
Description: bacterial SSU rRNA
Rfam family: Bacterial small subunit ribosomal RNA
Source: RNAcentral